UACGGAGGGUGCUAGCGUUGUUCGGAAUGACUGGGCGUAAAGGGCGCGUAGGCGGUUAUGUUAGUUAGAUGUGAAAUCCCAGGGCUUAACCUUGGAAUUGCAUUUAAUACUGCAUGACUUGAGAUCGGAAGAGGAAAGCGGAAUUCCUAGUGUAGAGGUGAAAUUCGUAGAUAUUAGGAGGAACAUCAGAGGCGAAGGCGGCUUUCUGGUCCGCAUCUGACGCUGAGGCGCGAAAGCGUGGGGAGCAAACAGG
This 253-nucleotide ribosomal RNA is filed under the name uncultured bacterium. RNAcentral's name for it is "partial 16S ribosomal RNA". It matches the Rfam family "Bacterial small subunit ribosomal RNA", at positions 524 to 776 of the family's 1533-position model. The record is from RNAcentral.